This is a long non-coding RNA of Talpa occidentalis (Iberian mole), 2885 nucleotides long. RefSeq lists it as uncharacterized. The record is from RefSeq and is a predicted model, not a curated record. The transcript has 3 exons. NCBI's taxonomy places the organism in Eukaryota, Metazoa, Chordata, Mammalia, Eulipotyphla, Talpidae.
UGAGUGGAAAGGAACUAUUUCAGCCACCACACCCCGUGAACGGGAGCUGAGGCGAACCCUGCAGGAUCCGCCGCGGAGGUGAGCUCCAGGCGCCAGUAAAGAGAGCCCCGCCCACCAGGAGGAGCCCAGCACCAGCACACAGCCCCAGCCGCCCGGGAGAAAGAAUGAAGAGUCAAUUUCUACAAAGGACAUUAAAGAAAAGCUGCAAUUUGCUAUUGCUGAAUGGAAAGUUCCAAUAUGUGCGGACUUGGUGUGCAGAUACUGGGGUGAGCUUUUUGUAUGAAGUGUUGGAGGAACUGGGUCUACAAUUUCACUCGCAGGUCACCAGGCCACAAAAAGUCACAUCUGGACCCGGCAAAGCGGCGCGGGGACCACCAGUAGACCCUGAACUGGAGAUACAGAUAUGAAAACCAGUGGGGCUCCCUGAGUCUCUCUUCUGGCCCGGGGAGAUGGGGAGAGAGUCUCUGCAUGACAGCAUGAUGCUGCAUAUGGACAGAAGAUGAACUUAAAUAGUGAGGAGCAAAAGGGGUGGGAUGUAUGGCUCCCAAGUCCAUUUUUCCUCAAAUCCACUCCUUGCCCUUCCCUGUCUUUGCUCUGCAUUGUAGGCAGCUGACCUCUGUUAAGUCGCAUGCUCAGGCUGAUUUCUGAAAGACUGAAGGGCAGAGGAGGGGAGGAAUAAGCCAGGCUACUUCUAUCUCAGGAACUUCUCUGGCAGUCACGGCAUCCCCUUAGUGGCCCCAGCUCUCACCAGACAGCCCCUUACAGGCCCCAGCCUCUAACAGAUGACCUCCAGCUCUGGGGUUCUUACUUCUGUCUCUCCAGACCAGCACAGUGGUCCUUCUGCUCUUACUAAUCUCUGGGUUGCUUCACUUUCUCAGGCCCUCAGUUUCCUCUCUCACCUGGUAACCACUUGCCCGAAUUACAUUUCCUCUAUUGUAAAAACUAUUUAGAAGUGGUUGCUAUUUUCCUGGUUGCCCCUGACUGUGAUAAGAAAAGUUAAUCAUGAGAACUAAUCAUACUUCAGAUAGGGCUGACUAAGUCAUUAUUCUACAAUACUCCCAUUCUGGGAAUUUAUACACAGAUAAACCCACAUACCCUCAAAGGGAGGUCUGUAUCAGGUCAUUCAUUGUCAUAUGGUUGGUAAAGGCAAAAAUGAGGAUCAAAACCAAGCCAAUGUGUAUUGGUUUGGUUAAGCAAACACUGUGACAUCCACAACGCUGUAAAAAGAAAUAAAGGAAACUCAGCAAAGAAGACAGAGCACAGAACAAGUAGCAUGCUAGCCUCUGUGUAAGAGGGCAAAGAAUAAGAAUGUAUGUUUGUAUUGCAUAAAUAGCAAAAAGACACACAAGAAAAUUAAAAAACGUGGUCAAGGGAGAAUAAAGUAGAGAGGGACAAAAGAGGAAAUUCUCAGAUCUCACAGGAAAUUCUUAGAUCAUUCUGACUUUUGAGUCACAUAUAGAUGCAUUACCUAUUGUGUUAUAACACUAUUGGAAAAGGAAUAAAAAUUAUAAAAAUGCAUAGAAAGAAAACGCUGCAACCUAGUCACUAAAUGAUAAACAUAACCAAAUUUUAAUACUUUAUAAUACUGUAGCCAAGUGGACCUUUGGAAGUGGGGGCGCAAAAGGGAUGCUUGGUAAGGAUGGAGUACAGUUUUAAAAUACAUUCCCCACCCCUUGAGUGUGGACUACAUUUAGUGACUCUCUUCCAAAGAAAAGGGCACAGAAAGAGAGAAACCUGGCAGACCCUACCCUAACCAAGGGAUCCAGGUUAAUAUCUCCAGCCAUAAGGCCAUCACACACCCCUUGCCCCAGAUACACACUUCCAAAGUAAGCGUGACAAAGCCAAACAUCUGGCAAACCCCCACUAUGAAACAGCCUACAAAUGCAUGACCAGUAACUUGUUCAAAAUUUCCAAGGCUGUGAAAGACAAGCAAAGACCAAAAAACUGUGACAGAUUGGAAACGAAGGAAACCUGGGGACCAAAUGCAAUGUAAUAUCCUGAACUAGAACAAGGGCAACAGUGGAAAGACUUGUGAGAUGGAAAUGAAGUCAGUGGUUUCACGGACAGUGUUCACUCAUGUUAACUUCUUAGUUCUGAUAAACACAAUUUGAUUAUGGAACAUGCUAACACUGGAGGAAGCUUGGGGAAGAGUAUACUGGAACUUCACACUAUCUCUGUCAAUUGUUUGCAAAUCUGAAACAACUUCAAAAUAGAUUUAAAGAAAAUAAAAAAAUGUUACAAGGAAUAAACUCAUGGCAUUGAGGAACUACCCCUGCAGAAGACUAGGACUUGUGAACACAAGAGAGAACAGCUUCGGGAACAAGAGCCCUGUUGGAAAAUAGAAGCAUGAACUGAACAUACACACACUGAGUGCUAAGACCAAGCACCAACCUAAGACCUGUGCGCCUGGGCUCCACAUUAGGAAGUCUUAUGUGUCAGGGAGGAUACUCAGAGCCCAGCACUCAUUGUUGGUACAGUGCAAUCUAGAACCUUCAAUAUUUCCUUUCGUGAUGCUGACUUUAUUUAGGCUCCUGGGAGAAGCUUCUUCACACAUCUCUUGCUCUUCUCCUCCUAAUAAAAGGGGUAGUCCCUGCAUGGUAUGCAAGUGGAUGGGCUGUGCGCCUAUUGUCAGAGACAGACUUUGCUACCAAGAGAAUCUGAACAGUAAAAGCUCUGGGGUGAGAGAAGAGGCGAACUGGUCUGAAUCCUUCCUCUCUAAGAACAUGAAUGGGAUAUGUAUAUCAAUGUCUCAGAGCAGUAAAUGUCCAUUUUUUACCUCACUUUGCAUUCUAGCUGAAGUAUCCAAUGACAGUCACUAAUUAGUAUACUAUUCCCACUGUUCUAUGUGGCAGCUGAGAAACACUGUGUGCUAUUUAAAUAAAUCA